RNAcentral lists this ribosomal RNA (445 nucleotides) under uncultured bacterium. Its description in RNAcentral is "bacterial SSU rRNA". It matches the Rfam family "Bacterial small subunit ribosomal RNA", at positions 331 to 793 of the family's 1533-position model. The record is from RNAcentral.
CCAGACUCCUACGGGAGGCAGCAGUGGGGAAUAUUGCACAAUGGGGGAAACCCUGAUGCAGCGACGCCGCGUGAGUGAAGAAGUAUUUCGGUAUGUAAAGCUCUAUCAGCAGGGAAGAUAAUGACGGUACCUGAGUAAGAAGCCCCGGCUAACUACGUGCCAGCAGCCGCGGUAAUACGUAGGGGGCAAGCGUUAUCCGGAUUUACUGGGUGUAAAGGGAGCGUAGACGGCAUGGCAAGUCUGAAGUGAAAGCCCGGGGCUCAACCGCGGGACUGCUUUGGAAACUGUUAAGCUGGAGUGCAGGAGAGGUAAGUGGAAUUCCUAGUGUAGCGGUGAAAUGCGUAGAUAUUAGGAGGAACACCAGUGGCGAAGGCGGCCUGCUGGACAGAAACUGACGUUGAGGCUCGAAAGCGUGGGGAGCAAACAGGAUUAGAUACCCGCGUAA